This 301-nucleotide ribosomal RNA is filed under the name uncultured bacterium. RNAcentral's name for it is "partial 16S ribosomal RNA". It matches the Rfam family "Bacterial small subunit ribosomal RNA", at positions 509 to 807 of the family's 1533-position model. The record is from RNAcentral.
CAGCCGCCGCGGUAAUACGGAGGGUGCAAGCGUUAAUCGGAAUUACUGGGCGUAAAGCGCACGCAGGCGGUCUGACAAGUCAGACGUGAAAUCCCCGGGCUUAACCUGGGAACUGCAUUUGAAACUGUCAGGCUGGAGUCUUGUAGAGGGGGGUAGAAUUCCAGGUGUAGCGGUGAAAUGCGUAGAGAUCUGGAGGAAUACCGGUGGCGAAGGCGGCCCCCUGGACAAAGACUGACGCUCAGGUGCGAAAGCGUGGGGAGCAAACAGGAUUAGAUACCCCUGUAGUCCCUGUCUCUUAUAC